This 253-nucleotide ribosomal RNA is filed under the name uncultured bacterium. RNAcentral's name for it is "partial 16S ribosomal RNA". It matches the Rfam family "Bacterial small subunit ribosomal RNA", at positions 524 to 776 of the family's 1533-position model. The record is from RNAcentral.
UACGUAGGGGGCAAGCGUUGUCCGGAUUUAUUGGGCGUAAAGAGCGUGUAGGCGGCCUGAAAGGUCAGCUGUGAAAACUCGAGGCUCAACCUCGAGACGUCGGUUGAAACCAUCUGGCUAGAGUCCGGAAGAGGAGUGUGGAAUUCCCGGUGUAGCGGUGAAAUGCGCAGAUAUCGGGAAGAACACCCGUGGCGAAGGCGGCACUCUGGGACGUUACUGACGCUGAGACGCGAAAGCGUGGGGAGCAAACAGG